AUUGAACGCUGGCGGAAUGCUUUACACAUGCAAGUCGAACGGCAGCACGGGGGCAACCCUGGUGGCGAGUGGCGAACGGGUGAGUAAUACAUCGGAACGUGCCCAGUCGUGGGGGAUAAC
RNAcentral lists this ribosomal RNA (120 nucleotides) under uncultured bacterium. Its description in RNAcentral is "partial 16S ribosomal RNA". It matches the Rfam family "Bacterial small subunit ribosomal RNA", at positions 30 to 147 of the family's 1533-position model. The record is from RNAcentral.